Molecule: long non-coding RNA, 239 nt
Filed under: Elaeis guineensis (African oil palm)
Lineage: Eukaryota; Viridiplantae; Streptophyta; Magnoliopsida; Arecales; Arecaceae
Description: long non-coding RNA (EGUI_LNC053555)
Source: RNAcentral
GUCCUUUAUGGAAGUGCUAGCUCGCGCAGUCGGCUUCUGAUGAUGGAUCUGAUCUGAUCUCUUUUUUUGAUCACCUCGAACCUUUUUAAUAUCGAAGAUGGAUCCAAGAAGGAUGCUGGAUGGUGGAGGAAACAUAGAUAAAGACUCUUUUCUCUUUAAUUUUCUCUCACCCAAAAAUCUUAGAAUGAUUCUAGGUCUCUCACUCGAGAGGAGAUCGAUCUCCUCCAUUGCACACCCCA